Synchiropus splendidus (mandarinfish) is the source of this 642-nucleotide long non-coding RNA. RefSeq lists it as uncharacterized. The transcript is spliced from 4 exons. The record is from RefSeq and is a predicted model, not a curated record. NCBI's taxonomy places the organism in Eukaryota, Metazoa, Chordata, Actinopteri, Syngnathiformes, Callionymidae.
GUGGGAGUCCCAGCAGACAAGCUGGGUAUUUUUACUUCAAUAGUGACUGCAAAUUAUCUCCAAAGUGGAAGGUGGAGGAGGCUGACCAACUGGAGAACUGAUGGAGAGUCUAGACAACAAAACGUGGCGUGAAGAUCACCAGAUUUACAGCGAGUGGAGCAACACUGGUGGCUGCCCAUCAGGACCACAAGGCUGCAGCUUCAUCCAGGAAAUAAAUCUAGCAGUGGGAUCGUCGGUGGAACACAUGUCCUGAAGGAGGCAGCCUGCUUCUCCCUGCCUGCCAGUGAUGCAAUCUCCCCUCACUUGUUGCCAAAUGGUGCUAACUAGUGCCCACACUCUCAGAUCGUCUCCAAUGUGGGGUUUUUUUCCCUCUUUUUAUCGGCGUUCUUUUCCUCCCUGCGCUGCGUGUGAUUCAAGUGCCCUCCCUGGAAGCGUGUGCAAGUCAAACAAAUCUGCCUGAGUUGUUUAUCCUCGACGCUUGAAUGUCAACUUGGCAGAACCUGCAGCUACAGCUGUUGUGAGGAAAGAAAUGAGAGUAAUUACAGACAGACGAGAGUGCACACAGGACUGGUGCGGGAGAUGUAAGAGCACCAUCACACGCACACACACACACACACACACACACACACACACACACACACA